Molecule: long non-coding RNA, 894 nt
Filed under: Malus domestica (apple)
Lineage: Eukaryota; Viridiplantae; Streptophyta; Magnoliopsida; Rosales; Rosaceae
Description: long non-coding RNA (MDOM_LNC006602)
Source: RNAcentral
UGCCCUAAUUAGCAAUGAAUGAUUGUCUUUCAUUUCUAAUGGCUCAAUGAAAAUGUUUUAAUUGGAUUGAAAAACACGUAAUUAAAUUGACACAACCUCCCCGAGUUUAUAUUCAACAAUGUUGGCUCAUUGUUGCAAUAACCUAAUAAGUCCAUGGUCAUCCAAGAGCCUAAGAUAACUAUAAAGUCCAAUUUCAAAGGAAUGCAAAAACCUUAGUAGUAGUAGUUACUUCCAAUAUUUGAAAAAUUAGUUUUUGAUAUUGAUUUGUUUUUCUUAAAACAAAUAGUGGGAGUAUCAUACGCUACUAAACUAUAAUGAAUACAAUUAGUAGUUAUAUAUAUCUCCAAUAUUUUGAAAAAUGUUUUGAUAUUGAUUUGUUUUAUGAAAAUGAAUAGUGGGGAUAUCAUAUGCUACUAAUUUCAUUUAACUUUGGACUAGUAGUUGUAAUAGGACAUUAUUUAUUUGAAUAUGAUUAAAUAAAUAAAAUUGAUGAGACCUUAAAAUCCCUCAACCAACAUACAAUAUUAAGUUGAAAGCGUAAGAGUGCUUUGAACACUUUUUUGUGGCCUUCCACCGUGGUAGGCUCCAAUCGUUUAUGACUUGUACAUCGCCUUCACCCUAUCAUGGGGGAGUGCAAAGUGCAUGCUUAUACUCAGGAGGAGUUUAUUUAAAACAUUUGAUGAGGUUAAGGUAGGCAACGAGUGUGGCCAACAUCGUAUCAUCAUGAGGUCAUGCUUGAACCCCUAUCUAAACCGGCAUGGUGGGAAAGAACUUAACUAAGAGAAAUGAUGCCAAUAUCGUAUCAUCGUGAGACAUUGCUCUCUAGAGGCCAAAAAGAUGGGUAAUCACAAGAGGUUGUUGUGAAUGGGUAAUUGUACCCUCUCAUUAUUAUUU